Molecule: ribosomal RNA, 764 nt
Filed under: Stenotrophomonas maltophilia
Lineage: Bacteria; Pseudomonadati; Pseudomonadota; Gammaproteobacteria; Lysobacterales; Lysobacteraceae
Description: partial 23S ribosomal RNA
Rfam family: Bacterial large subunit ribosomal RNA
Source: RNAcentral
GGCACGUGAAACCCUGUCUGAACAUGGGGGGACCAUCCUCCAAGGCUAAAUACUACUGACCGACCGAUAGUGAACCAGUACCGUGAGGGAAAGGCGAAAAGAACCCCGGAGAGGGGAGUGAAAUAGAACCUGAAACCGUGUGCGUACAAGCAGUAGGAGCUCCGCAAGGAGUGACUGCGUACCUUUUGUAUAAUGGGUCAGCGACUUACUGUUCGUGGCAAGCUUAACCGUAUAGGGGAGGCGAAGGGAAACCGAGUCUGAUAAGGGCGCAUAGUCGCGGGCAGUAGACCCGAAACCGGGUGAUCUAGUCAUGCCCAGGGUGAAGGUGCGGUAACACGCACUGGAGGCCCGAACCCACUCCCGUUGCAAAGGUAGGGGAUGAGGUGUGAUUAGGAGUGAAAAGCUAAUCGAACCCGGAGAUAGCUGGUUCUCCUCGAAAGCUAUUUAGGUAGCGCCUCAUAUGUAUCCUCUCGGGGGUAGAGCACUGUUAUGGCUAGGGGGUCAUCGCGACUUACCAAACCAUUGCAAACUCCGAAUACCGAGACGGACUGUAUGGGAGACACACGGCGGGUGCUAACGUCCGUCGUGAAAAGGGAAACAACCCAGACCCACAGCUAAGGUCCCAAAUUUUGUGCUAAGUGGAAAACCAUGUGGAAAGGCACAGACAGCCAGGAGGUUGGCUUAGAAGCAGCCACCCUUUAAAGAAAGCGUAAUAGCUCACUGGUCGAGUCGGUCUGCGGGGAAGAUUUAACGGGGCUAAGCAC